Molecule: ribosomal RNA, 582 nt
Filed under: uncultured Bacillus sp.
Lineage: Bacteria; Bacillati; Bacillota; Bacilli; Caryophanales; Bacillaceae
Description: partial 16S ribosomal RNA
Rfam family: Bacterial small subunit ribosomal RNA
Source: RNAcentral
AGAGCUUGCUUUAAAGAAGUUAGCGGCGGACGGGUGAGUAACACGUGGGCAACCUGCCUGUAAGACUGGGAUAACUUCGGGAAACCGGAGCUAAUACCGGAUAAUAUAUAGUACCUCCUGGUACUAUAUUGAAAGUUGGUUUCGGCUAACACUUACAGAUGGGCCCGCGGCGCAUUAGCUAGUUGGUGAGGUAACGGCUCACCAAGGCAAAGAUGCGUAGCCGACCUGAGAGGGUGAUCGGCCACACUGGGACUGANACACGGCCCAGACUCCUACGGGAGGCAGCAGUAGGGAAUCUUCCACAAUGGACGAAAGUCUGACGGANCAACGCCGCGUGAGUGAUGAAGGUUUUCNGAUCGUANNACUCUGUUGUUAGGGAAGAACNNNUAUCGNAGUAACUGCNNGNACCUUGACGGUACCUAACCAGANAGCCACGGCUAACUACNUGCNNNNNGCCGCGGUAAUACGUAGGUGGCAAGCGUUGUCCGGAAUUAUUGNGCGUAAAGCGCGCGCANGCGGNUCCUUAAGUCUGAUGUGAAAGCCCACGGCUCANCCGUGNAGGGUCAUUGGAAACUGGGGAAC